AGCGGGAAAAGCUCAAAUUUAAAAUCUGGCGGUCUUUGGCCGUCCGAGUUGUAGUCUGGAGAAGUGCUUUCCGCGCUGGACCGUGUAUAAGUCUCUUGGAACAGAGCGUCAUAGAGGGUGAGAAUCCCGUCUUUGACACGGACUACCAGUGCUUUGUGAUGCGCUCUCAAAGAGUCGAGUUGUUUGGGAAUGCAGCUCAAAAUGGGUGGUGAAUUCCAUCUAAAGCUAAAUAUUGGCGAGAGACCGAUAGCGAACAAGUACCGUGAGGGAAAGAUGAAAAGCACUUUGGAAAGAGAGUUAAACAGUACGUGAAAUUGCUGAAAGGGAAACGCUUGAAGUCAGUCGCGUUGUCCGGAACUCAGCCUUGCUUUUGCUUGGUGCACUUUCCGGAUUGACGGGUCAGCAUCGAUUUUGACCGUCGGAAAAGGGCUGGAGUAAUGUGGCACCUCCGGGUGUGUUAUAGACUCCAGUCGCAUACGGCGGUUGGGAUCGAGGAACGCAGCGCGCCGCAAGGCAGGGGUUCGCCCACUUUCGCGCUUAGGAUGCUGGCAUAAUGGCUUUAAACGACCCGUCUUGAAACACGGACCAAGGAGUCUAACAUACCUGCGAGUGUUUGGGUGGAAAACCCGAGCGCGUAAUGAAAGUGAAAGUUGAGACCUCUGUCGUGGAGGGCAUCGACGCCCGGACCUGACGUUUACUGACGGUUCCGCGGUAGAGCAUGUAUGUUGGGACCCGAAAGAUGGUGAACUAUGCCUGAAUAGGGUGAAGCCAGAGGAAACUCUGGUGGAGGCUCGUAGCGAUUCUGACGUGCAAAUCGAUCGUCAAAUUUGGGUAUAGGGGCGAAA
RNAcentral lists this ribosomal RNA (845 nucleotides) under Ganoderma sp. RNAcentral describes it as "partial large subunit ribosomal RNA". It matches the Rfam family "Eukaryotic large subunit ribosomal RNA", at positions 97 to 928 of the family's 3401-position model. The record is from RNAcentral. Lineage: Eukaryota; Fungi; Basidiomycota; Agaricomycetes; Polyporales; Polyporaceae.